GAUGAACGCUGGCGGCGUGCCUAACACAUGCAAGUCGAACGAAGCAUAUGCAGCGGAGAUUUCGGUCAAAGCAGCAUAUGACUUAGUGGCGGACGGGUGAGUAACGCGUGGGUAACCUGCCUCAUACAGGGGGAUAACAGACAGAAAUGUCUGCUAACACCGCAUGACAUGAGGGUGCCGCAUGGCAUCCCCAUCAAAUAUUUAUAGGUAUGAGAUGGGCCCGCGUCUGAUUAGCUAGUUGGGGGGGUAACGGCCCACCAAGGCGACGAUCAGUAGCCGGCUUGAGAGAGUGACCGGCCACAUUGGGACUGAGACACGGCCCAAACUCCUACGGGAGGCAGCAGUGGGGGAUAUUGCACAAUGGGGGGAACCCUGAUGCAGCGACGCCGCGUGAGUGAAGAAGUAUCUCGGUAUGUAAAGCUCUAUCAGCAGGGAAGAUAAUGACAGUACCUGACUAAGAAGCCCCGGCUAACUACGUGCCAGCCGCCGCAGUAAAAC
This 498-nucleotide ribosomal RNA is filed under the name uncultured bacterium. RNAcentral describes it as "bacterial SSU rRNA". It matches the Rfam family "Bacterial small subunit ribosomal RNA", at positions 28 to 526 of the family's 1533-position model. The record is from RNAcentral.